GAUAUCUUGUGUGCCGUGACAGAAAACAGCUCUAAUUUUCAGCCCUGCGCCGGAGACCCUGUCGGUGUAAUGAAACUACGCCUCUUUGCCUCGAGAAUCUCCAGGCUUUCCUGAGACCAGAGCUGUAAUCAAUGCCGGUUCUUUCAUGUUCGAGGACUCCUAACACGGACCCCAUUUUCCAGUACAGGGUCGGUUUAGUCUCUUUAUAGAAAAGCAGGCUGUGCGAACGCUGCCUGGGUGCCCGCGCUUUUCCCGGGCCAAAGGCCGGGCCUUGACCCACGCCCAUCUCCCUGCAGCAGGCCUUGCAGUGCGCCGGGGCGUCCAGCAGAUGGCGCCACAGUUGAAUUUUCCCGCGCUGUUGUCUGGCUGCGGGAAGCCUCGAAAAACCAGGAAGGGGAUUUUUUUUUUAAAGUAUUCUGAUUUUCAAUGCAUAUCACCUUAUUUGCCUUGUCAGAGGCACUUUUUAUUGACAUUAGUUGAACUUCACUUGAGAUCUCUUAAAAAAGUCAUGGAUUACGGAACUUGAAAUGCUUUUCUUUUGUUAAAGCUUCCAGUCUUUCAAAAACCUCCAAGAGGUGGGAUCUUGCUGUGUUACCUACCCAGGCUUCAAGUGAUCCUCCUGCCUCAGCCUUGCACACAGAGAGGAAGGGAGGACUGCGGGCAACACCACAGAACCACUUAGAUGAGGCAACACAGUUGACCUAACUGCUUCAAAGCAAUGAGAAGGAUAAAAGGGAGUGAACUGUUUGGUUUCUACAAGACUUCAACUCCAUGUGAAGAAGUGUGCAUCUACGUACAAUGUGAGAGUCUUGCUUGGAGCCUGAUCAAAACAGAUCAACUAUGAAAAGAAUCUUUAGAAGACUGAGAAUUAGAUGACAAUAAAGAGUUAGUGUUAA
Chinchilla lanigera (long-tailed chinchilla) is the source of this 896-nucleotide long non-coding RNA. RefSeq lists it as uncharacterized. The transcript has 2 exons. Lineage: Eukaryota; Metazoa; Chordata; Mammalia; Rodentia; Chinchillidae. The record is from RefSeq and is a predicted model, not a curated record.